AAACUUUAAAUGGGUGAGAAGACCACCUGCUCGAUCGAAGGCCGGUCGUCGGAUGAGAGUGCCCAGUGGGCCACUUUUGGUAAGCAGAACUGGCGCUGUGGGAUGAACCAAACGCCGAGUUACGGAGCCCGAUGCGAGACGCUCAUGAGACCCCAUGAAAAGUGUUGGUCGCUCCAGACAGCAGGACAGUGGCCAUAGAAUUAGGAAUCUUCUAAGGAGUGUGUAACAACUCACCUGCCAAAGCAACUAGGCCUGAAAAUAGAUGACGCUCCAGCGUCCAGCCCAUACCCGGCCGCCGCUGCAGAGCUCCUCAAGGAGGUUUAGGCCGCGGUGAGUAGGAGGGUCGCGGCGGGGAGCGUUGAAGGUGACGGGCGUGAGCCCGCCAGGAAUCCCCGUCCGUGGAGAUAUUGCUGGUAGUAGCAAAUACUCAAGUGAGAACCUUGAGGACUGAGGGUGGCGAAUUGUUCCAUGUGAACAGCAGUUGAACACGGGUCAGUCGGCCCUAAGGGAUCGGAGAAAUCCGUUCUGAAGCGGGACCUUACACGACUGUACUGCAGUCCCGCUGUCGACCGAAAGAGAAUGGGGACAAUAUUCCCCAACCCGGACACGGAGAUCGGGCUCUCGGGCCCAAGUGCGGCGACGCAACCGCUAAAGUCGACGGAGGACCCGGUUAAGAGUUGUCUUUUCUUUGUAAGGGUUCGUGUCCCUGGAAUCGGCUCGUCCGGAGAUAGGGACGCUGUUCCCGUAAAAGCACCGCGGCUCUUGCGGUGUCCGGUCCGCCUCUGUGG
Molecule: ribosomal RNA, 788 nt
Filed under: cf. Gasparia sp. New Zealand CG105
Lineage: Eukaryota; Metazoa; Arthropoda; Arachnida; Araneae; Desidae
Description: eukaryotic LSU rRNA
Rfam family: Eukaryotic large subunit ribosomal RNA
Source: RNAcentral